This 370-nucleotide ribosomal RNA is filed under the name uncultured eukaryote. RNAcentral's name for it is "partial 18S ribosomal RNA". It matches the Rfam family "Eukaryotic small subunit ribosomal RNA", at positions 592 to 976 of the family's 1831-position model. The record is from RNAcentral.
CAAUAGCGUAUAUUAAAGUUGUUGCAGUUAAAAAGCUCGUAGUUGGACCUUGGACCUGGACAGGCGGUCCGCCUCACGGCGAGUACUGUCUUGCUGGGUCUUUCCUCUUGGUGAUCUGUUGUUUCGGCAGCAGGGAACCAGGACCUUUACUUUGAAAAAAUUAGAGUGUUCAAAGCAGGCUCGACGCCGGAAUAUAUUAGCAUGGAAUAAUAAAAUAGGACGUGCGGUUCUAUUUUGUUGGUUUUUGGAAUCGCCGUAAUGAUUAAUAGGGACAGUCGGGGGCAUUAGUACUCACAUGCUAGAGGUGAAAUUCUUGGAUUUUGUGAAGACUAACUUCUGCGAAAGCAUUUGCCAAGGAUGUUNUCAUUNA